This 28-nucleotide ribosomal RNA is filed under the name Rhizoctonia solani. RNAcentral's name for it is "partial 28S ribosomal RNA". Lineage: Eukaryota; Fungi; Basidiomycota; Agaricomycetes; Cantharellales; Ceratobasidiaceae. The record is from RNAcentral.
CUACCCGCUGAACUUAAGCAUAUCAAUA